UUUAUGGAGAGUUUGAUCCUGGCUCAGGAUGAACGCUGGCGGCGUGCCUAAUACAUGCAAGUCGAGCGAACAGAUAAGGAGCUUGCUUCUUUGACGUUAGCGGCGGACGGGUGAGUAACACGUGGGUAACCUACCUAUAAGACUGGGAUAACUUCGGGAAACCGGAGCUAAUACCGGAUAAUAUUUCGAACCGCAUGGUUCGAUAGUGAAAGAUGGUUUUGCUAUCACUUAUAGAUGGACCCGCGCCGUAUUAGCUAGUUGGUAAGGUAACGGCUUACCAAGGCGACGAUACGUAGCCGACCUGAGAGGGUGAUCGGCCACACUGGAACUGAGACACGGUCCAGACUCCUACGGGAGGCAGCAGUAGGGAAUCUUCCGCAAUGGGCGAAAGCCUGACGGAGCAACGCCGCGUGAGUGAUGAAGGUCUUCGGAUCGUAAAACUCUGUUAUUAGGGAAGAACAUACGUGUAAGUAACUGUGCACGUCUUGACGGUACCUAAUCAGAAAGCCACGGCUAACUACGUGCCAGCAGCCGCGGUAAUACGUAGGUGGCAAGCGUUAUCCGGAAUUAUUGGGCGUAAAGCGCGCGUAGGCGGUUUUUUAAGUCUGAUGUGAAAGCCCACGGCUCAACCGUGGAGGGUCAUUGGAAACUGGAAAACUUGAGUGCAGAAGAGGAAAGUGGAAUUCCAUGUGUAGCGGUGAAAUGCGCAGAGAUAUGGAGGAACACCAGUGGCGAAGGCGACUUUCUGGUCUGUAACUGACGCUGAUGUGCGAAAGCGUGGGGAUCAAACAGGAUUAGAUACCCUGGUAGUCCACGCCGUAAACGAUGAGUGCUAAGUGUUAGGGGGUUUCCGCCCCUUAGUGCUGCAGCUAACGCAUUAAGCACUCCGCCUGGGGAGUACGACCGCAAGGUUGAAACUCAAAGGAAUUGACGGGGACCCGCACAAGCGGUGGAGCAUGUGGUUUAAUUCGAAGCAACGCGAAGAACCUUACCAAAUCUUGACAUCCUUUGACAACUCUAGAGAUAGAGCCUUCCCCUUCGGGGGACAAAGUGACAGGUGGUGCAUGGUUGUCGUCAGCUCGUGUCGUGAGAUGUUGGGUUAAGUCCCGCAACGAGCGCAACCCUUAAGCUUAGUUGCCAUCAUUAAGUUGGGCACUCUAAGUUGACUGCCGGUGACAAACCGGAGGAAGGUGGGGAUGACGUCAAAUCAUCAUGCCCCUUAUGAUUUGGGCUACACACGUGCUACAAUGGACAAUACAAAGGGCAGCGAAACCGCGAGGUCAAGCAAAUCCCAUAAAGUUGUUCUCAGUUCGGAUUGUAGUCUGCAACUCGACUACAUGAAGCUGGAAUCGCUAGUAAUCGUAGAUCAGCAUGCUACGGUGAAUACGUUCCCGGGUCUUGUACACACCGCCCGUCACACCACGAGAGUUUGUAACACCCGAAGCCGGUGGAGUAACCAUUUGGAGCUAGCCGUCGAAGGUGGGACAAAUGAUUGGGGUGAAGUCGUAACAAGGUAGCCGUAUCGGAAGGUGCGGCUGGAUCACCUCCUUU
This 1551-nucleotide ribosomal RNA is filed under the name Staphylococcus haemolyticus. RNAcentral describes it as "bacterial SSU rRNA". It matches the Rfam family "Bacterial small subunit ribosomal RNA". The record is from RNAcentral. Lineage: Bacteria; Bacillati; Bacillota; Bacilli; Caryophanales; Staphylococcaceae.